Molecule: ribosomal RNA, 253 nt
Filed under: uncultured bacterium
Lineage: Bacteria
Description: partial 16S ribosomal RNA
Rfam family: Bacterial small subunit ribosomal RNA
Source: RNAcentral
UACGAAGGGGGCUAGCGUUGCUCGGAAUCACUGGGCGUAAAGCGCACGUAGGCGGCUUCUUAAGUCGGUGGUGAAAUCCUGGAGCUCAACUCCAGAACUGCCUUCGAUACUGGGAAGCUCGAGUCCGGGAGAGGUGAGUGGAACUGCGAGUGUAGAGGCGAAAUUCGUAGAUAUUCGCAAGAACACCAGUGGCGAAGGCGGCUCACUGGCCCGGUACUGACGCUGAGGUGCGAAAGCGUGGGGAGCAAACAGG